UUCUCGAAUUUAAAAGAGUUAAUUAAUUAAAAAAUUUAUUGUAGCAAAAAUAUUUUUCAUAAUUAAUUAGAAAUGAAAUGUUAAUCGUUUUUAAAUAUAUCUAGUUUUUUUAGAAAAAAAUUUAAUUUUAAAUUAAAUUAAUUAAAAAAUUAAUUAAAAAAUUUUUUAAAAUUUAAAUUUAAUAUUUUAAGGGAUAAGCUUUAAUUUAAAAUAUUUAUAAUUAAAUAUUAAAUUUUUUGAAAAUUUUAAAAUUUAUAUUGUUUAAAAAUUAUAAUUUUUUAUAAAUAAUUUCAUAAAAAAUAAAAUUUAAUUUUAAUUUAAUUUAUUAUAAAAAAAUAAAAUUUAAAAAAAUAAUUUUAGUUAUAAUGAUAAAAUUAGUAUAUAAAUUUUAUUUAAUUAAUAUUAUAAAAUAUUUUUAAAUGAAAAAUUAAUUAUAAGGAAUUCGGCAAAAAUUUAUAUUCACUUGUUUAUCAAAAACAUGUCUUUUUGAAAUAAUUUAAAGUCUAAUCUGCCCACUGAUGAAAAUUGAAGGGCUGCAGUAUUUUGACUGUACAAAGGUAGCAUAAUCAUUAGUCUCUUAAUUGGUGACUUGUAUGAAAGAUUGGAUGAGAUAUAAGCUGUCUUAUUUUUAUUUAUAGAAUUUAAUUUUUU
This 651-nucleotide ribosomal RNA is filed under the name Grapholita molesta (oriental fruit moth). RNAcentral describes it as "partial 16S ribosomal RNA". The record is from RNAcentral. Lineage: Eukaryota; Metazoa; Arthropoda; Insecta; Lepidoptera; Tortricidae.